Molecule: long non-coding RNA, 550 nt
Organism: Xenia sp. Carnegie-2017
Lineage: Eukaryota; Metazoa; Cnidaria; Anthozoa; Malacalcyonacea; Xeniidae
Exons: 2
Source: RefSeq, a predicted model, not a curated record
UAAUCACCUGCUGUUUUUAUUGUAAAAUUUUGAAUUCUGUUCACACCAAAUAGAAUAUGAAAUGCAAGUUUCUUAUUUUAGCUAUAACUGAAGUAAACACAAAGAUGUUUUGACUUGGAAGCUUUAUGCCAAUAAACCUUUCACAAUUUACUAUUAUUUAGUUCAAUUAUUGAACAUCCUGGCUUACAUACAAACUAACUGAAAUAAUCUUAAAGGAAGACGGGGAAGCCAGACUUUUACAACCCUGCCGUACCAAUUAUAUUUGAAAAGACUAAUGAAAUUAACUGUUGGCGACAAGGCCAGAAAAAUCAGUACUUUAAAAUGAAAAUCUAUCCAAUGUGUUGUUGGGAAAAUCCCACCAAAAUCAACAGACGUAUCAAUAUAAAACAUAUGAAGUGUGAAUUCCAUCACGAAAAUGACAUUCAGGCUUUUUGUGACAAAUAUAACAAAAUUCUAGACAUAAGAACAAACAAUAACACUAUGAUGGGUGAACUUUAUAGUUAACAUACCUUCACAAAUUCAGAAAGAUUAAUAACGACGGAACCAACUA